AGAGCUCACUUAUAGGUACCUGAGAAGUAGUAGCUGUAAGCUGGAAAAAUGUUACAUGGGUUAGCUGGGGCUCUUCAGGUUAAAAGCCCAAAUGAGGUUGAUUGGUGAUUAGCUCAGAGACAAAUUGGAGAUUACGGAACCCUGGGGAGUGGGAGGAGUUUGAUUAAUGGGACUGUUUGCAACCCCUCAGCCAAAGAGAAGUGAGCCCUGUGCUAGGGAAGCUGAGCUCCAGACAGAUACAAGUAAAGGAAAAUGGGUGGGACAAACACAGUGGGCUGAGACAUGCCAUCAAUAUCAGCUUCUUGUGUAGGGGUCCCAGGAAAGAAGCCCCACUCCUUCAAUUUGCUGCAGCAAAUUUGAUGGGGGCAGGUCAGAGGGAACUGAGGUCAAAGUACAUUACUGAGCCCACAAGAAGAAAGACUGUUCUGUUUGUUUGGACUACUGUAUUUACCUCUGAAGAGGAGGACUUUAUAUUUGAUUGGAGAGCCAAAUCACCCAGCUGCCAGAGUGAGAGGCGCUGUCUUUGGAGGGGACACUAAGACAUGUAUGAAAGGGUGAACUGAGGUGGUGACUAAGAAUCGAUGCCAGAGAGGAGGAACAUCCCACAUUUUAGAUGCCACUUCACCUCUGUCCUACGCAAAUCUGGUGUUGUCUUUUAUUAUUGCCAGGAGCAAAGAUGAAUCAUGAAACUGAAGUUACGGGAAGUUGAUUUCUGUAACAAAUCACAUCACUCAACUAAAAAUGCUGCCGCUCUCCCUUUCCAGGUUGUAUAUUGUUUCAGUUCCUCUGGAGGUAUAUUUUGGACUUUGCAUGAGAAACAUUCAAAAUAUUUUUACAGAAGGUUUAUCCUUUUGAUAUAAAGAAGAAAUUCAAGCCAGAGGUAUAAACAGAUGUGAAUCGAUCAGAUCUCAACCGAACUCCAAAGAGAUCUUGCCUGACAUAUUUGGAAAAGCCUGUCUUUCUUCCAGACAUAUUUGCAAAGAAAAAGCCGCUUGACUCUGAUGCAUGCCUCAGUCCAAUGGGUUUAUUUGUUCAAAAAUACUACCUAAGAAUAGAACUUGGUGAGGUCAAAGUAUACAUUCACGUAUCAUAAAUGGAAUAUUGUAUAGUACAUAGAAAAUAAAGGCCACAAGGAAGAUUACUGAUGUCUUAAUAAACUGCAGAAGUAGAACAGAAGCUUUUUAAGAUGCUAAAAAUAUGAGAACUAUAAGUUUGAAAGUGAGCUGUUUAAAUUACCAGAUGACUGAAACUGUUAAGUGCAAAACUUUGCUGGGCAAAAGUGUUUCUGUUUUUAAUAGAUUGCCACAUCAGGCUGGAGCUGCAGCCGAGAUAACGGAUGACCUUUGAAGUCCUUAGGAUAAAUUAUGGUUUGUGUGCAAGAGAUGAUAAUGCAGUUAAAAAAGAUUUAUGUAAUAGUUCUUCAAAGAGCCUGAGACAUUAGCACAGGGUCAUAAAUUAGUAGGAUUUUCAAGUAAGGAAUUACUUUACAUAGGAGGGCCCUGGAAUUUUAUCCCAUGUGGUUUUGCCUCCAUGAACUUGCUGAAGUUUAAGUGAGGAGUUACCUGAUGAGCCUUCACAGGCAGCUGUGAAAUUACAGGGAAGUCUGGGCUGAUAAGAACCAAUCACAUUUCAAUAGCGAUCAAAUACUUCCCCGGUAGAGAAGUUUAGCUUGUACUCUGUAGGACAUAUGUCAGAAACUUAUCACUACCUCUUUCAAGAGACCUUAGGCUGAAUAACAAGUUGAAAGCCGUCUUUAAUCUUCCAGGCUUCAGCGGUGGUCUAAAUAAAUCAUUUUAAAACAAAUAUGUUUUAAAACCUUUUACCCUAUUAAAAAUGAUAGGCUUGGCUAAGUAAAUCCUUAUUAAAUCAUAGUGAUGCCAUUUUCCCUGUCAAUUAGAGAACCCUAUUUUUAGAGUCUUGUAAAUCAGAUUUCAUUUUGAGCUGAAAGUUGGCAUGUAGAGUCCAAACUAAGGACCGAUUUCGUAUUACUGUUGUUUGUGCCAGGGUUUUCCAGCAUUGGACUGGGGAGGCAAAAACCUACAGGCAAAGGAAUGAGGGAGCUCUAAGUAUAGUCUAAGCAAUGGUGGGUGAGUAAUGCUGUACCACCACCUCUGGGACGCAGAGACAUAAGGUUAGUACUAUGAUCAGUUGAAAUGAAGUCAGAGGGCCCAUGUUCCCUGGACUGUUACUGAGGGGACACCUGUGGAACAAGGAAUGUAGAGAGCUAACCUUGAAACAACUCAGACACAUGGCCAGAGCAGUCCACAGGAUUUACUAACAUUUCACUUGUUCCACUUAAUCUGCAUCCAGUUUCACUCUUUGUGUGAAUGAGACACCUCAUAAAUCAUAAUGUAGUACUAAGCUAAAUUCAAAACCAAAAGGCUACAGAGGAUAAAUGGAGUUGCAUGUGUUCAAAUCCCCUCCUGAGCUCAUUCUGCUCCAGUAGUGGGACUUACCUCGACGGAUGUGUAGAUCUAAGUUCUGUUAGGCCUAGGACCCCCAGCCAGCCUAGGACUCCAUUCAUAUUUCAUUGGAUUCUCUGCUUAAUCUUCUACCACUUAAAGGAGGGGAGAAGCUAAAAAUUCUGAUGCCUCAUGGGAAAUGCCUUGUCCCAUAAGCCUGCCUAUACUUUGCUCAAAAUAGCUUCUAUUUUAAAAACUUGAACUUGGCAGGAACUUAACAAGGCCGGGAAUCUUUGGUGAUUUUGGGAAGGGGAAAUAUAAACACCAUCCAUAUUAUUCCAUCUGGAAAAGCCGCUUCUAAAAAAUAAAAUAGUGAGGAAUUCCAGUAUGCACAGCUUUUGUUCAGAGCCAGCACAAAACAGGAGAUAAACUGUAACAACAUCAGUUUAUGGCUUGUCAGGUAUAUUACCAAAAGGACAAGUGAAAUAACCAGGAUGUUCAGGGCGUCUCUCAUACUUCCAAUGAAGGCUUUUAAAAUCUAUCAAUAUCUCAAUCUUUCAAUAGACGUAACACUGCUGAUGAUAGUUGUCACUUCAUCCAUUGAUUUCUCUCCCCUACUAACUGUGCAAAAUUGCAAAGAAAAUUUAACAGCACAGGCAAAAAUCUAUUGGAUCCUCUUUAUUACUAAUGCCAGCGUACACAACCCUCACUUCUUCUGCCAUAAAAUAUCACUGACUCUCACUUGGACACCCAUGCCUUCUCUCUUUUUCAACACCUUCCGCCCACACACAUUCUUAGACUGGAGCCUGCUGAACCAGAAUCCAACUUAAAGCGGCUCCCCAUCUGCUGGCUAACACCCGCUAGAGGCUGUCUUUCCGCCAGAAUGGCAAAUUCCCACCAACCCCCCUUGGUUGGCGGUGGAGUUGGCGGUGAAUCAAGCCCAUUAUGUUUGAAAGCUGACUUCAGGGCUGGGCAAUGCACUACUGUUUCUUGCUAAACUAUACUUAAUUUGGAAGACCCAGAAAUAGGUAUUUCAAGAUUAUUUUGAAGUGAAAAUUUGUAUAUCCUCUUUUAAUCCCAUUUCUGAGCCUGAGAAUUGGAAAGCUAAGGAGGACGAAGUUUUGAGGAAACCUCAGAUAUUCUAUCAAUGCAAUCAGACAACUCUGAAAAAAAUAGUGGUUUUUUUUUUUUAAUUUUAAUUGAAUGUGCACUGAACAUGUCCAUGUACUUGAUUAUCUGUGUUGGUUCAUUCCACCCACACCUUGGGUUUGUUAUUAGCCUUGUCAUUAGAUAAGACUUCUGUUAUAUCUACUGCUUGGAUGCAAUUAAUUGUUUACUUUCUCUAGGCUAGCCAGAGAUUGAGAUGAGAUAUUUUGGUAAAAUAUGCGCUAUUUCCCUACCCGCAUUAUUGAAGCUUCUAAUUCUUAGUUUAUAGACUUCACAGGAGAGGGAGUGUUAAUUAUGCUGUUAUGGCUAUUUGUCUCUGGCUGUAUACAAAGAUUUAUUUACAUGUUGGCUCUUUUCCUAGAUCUUCUAUUAGCAAGUAUGAUGCUGAUGAUUAUACAUAAAGGACCUGACUUUCCUACCAGCCUUACCCGAGCCUGCUUUUGCACCCGUAAUUUUGCUGAUGAAAGCAAUUAGGUCAUCUAGGCAUCCAAGUUCUGCUUUACAGCUGCAGUCAUGUACAUCACUGCAUGCUUACAGUGAACCACCACCCCCCCCAAAAGAUGCCACUUUCUUCACACUCUCACACACACGCACACACAAAAUCAGGCACCAAACACAUAUGCUAAACUC
Mauremys reevesii (Reeves's turtle) is the source of this 4199-nucleotide long non-coding RNA. RefSeq lists it as uncharacterized. The record is from RefSeq and is a predicted model, not a curated record. The transcript is spliced from 3 exons. NCBI's taxonomy places the organism in Eukaryota, Metazoa, Chordata, Testudines, Geoemydidae.